Molecule: ribosomal RNA, 494 nt
Filed under: uncultured bacterium
Lineage: Bacteria
Description: partial 16S ribosomal RNA
Rfam family: Bacterial small subunit ribosomal RNA
Source: RNAcentral
GACGAACGCUGGCGGCGUGCUUAACACAUGCAAGUCGAACGGAAAGGCCUGCUUUCCCUUGUGGAUUGCGGGUACUCGAGUGGCGAACGGGUGAGUAACACGUGAGUGAUCUGCCCCCAACUUGGGUAUAAGCCUGGGAAACUGGGUCUAAUUCCCGAUAGGACUGCAGGGUGGUGCCUGUGGUGGAAAACGAUUUUCUAGUGGUUGGGGAUGAGCUCGCGGCCUAUCAGCUUGUUGGUGGGGUAAUGGCCUACCAAGGCGGCGACGGGUCGCCGGCCUGGGAGGGUGGACGGCCACAUUGGGACUGGGAUACGACCCAGACGCCUACGGGAGGCAGGGGUGGGGAAUAAUGGACAAUGGGCGGGAGCCUGAUGCAGCGACGCCGCGUGGGGGAUGACGGCCUUCGAGUUGUAAGCUCCUUUCGAACGCGAGGAGGCCACCUAGUUGGAAGGGUGGUGACGGUAGUGGUAGAAGAAGCACCGGCUAACUACGUG